GACGAACGCUGGCGGCGUGCUUAACACAUGCAAGUCGAACGGAAAGACCCUGCGUUUGUGCGGUGCUCGAUUGCCGAACGGGUGAGUAUCACGUGUGUAUCCUGCCCUUGUCUUUGGGGUAACUUCACGAAACUGGGGCUAAUAUCGGAUAGGAUCUCCUGCUGCAUGGUGGGGGUUGGAAAGUUUCGGCUGUUGGGGAUGGACUGGCGGCUUAUCAGCUUGUUGGUGGGGUAGUGGCUUACCCAGGCUUUGAGGGGUAGCCGGCCUGAGAGGGUGACCGGCCACCUUGGGACUGAGGUACGGCCCAGACGCGUACGGGCGGCAGCAGGGGGGAAUAUUGCACAAUGGGCGGAAGCCUGAUGCAGAAGCCCUGCGUGCGGGAAAACGGCCUUCGGGGGGUAAACAACUUUCGCCUGUAACGAACAGUGCGUGACGGUAACGGGUAAAAAAGCCACGGCUAACUACGUG
RNAcentral lists this ribosomal RNA (468 nucleotides) under uncultured bacterium. RNAcentral describes it as "partial 16S ribosomal RNA". It matches the Rfam family "Bacterial small subunit ribosomal RNA", at positions 28 to 507 of the family's 1533-position model. The record is from RNAcentral.